GCCGAGCGCGGCUUCCCGGGGACCCUCCCAGCUCUGAGCGCCCCUGACCCCCCGGAUCCGCAAAGCCACACACACACACACAAGCCCGGUCCCCCGACACGCGGGAGUGGUGGGAGCGACCAGGGCCCCCCCCCCAUCCCUGGCAAACACACACACACGCACGUGUCCCCGGGACGCAGGGGGCGGUGCAGCAAGAAGUAGGAAGCAACAGGAAAGGACACACCAGGAUGACCCCCUCCUUUGGCAGGGGGGCGUUUUCCAUGACAGCCCCCUCCCCUAAACCCACGACCCCCACCCAACAACCAGGCUGAAGCAGGAGGCGGGGCAGGAGGCCUUUGUGAUUCAAAUAACUUAGGCAAGAAAGACUCAGGGGAUCCCCGGCUUGCGUCCCCCAGGAGGCUGAGGUCGGAGGCCCCGCUGCCCCCCACCCUGGCGUCCGCAGCGCGAGGGGACAGGGGAGGGAGGACCGGCCCGGUGUUAUCUGUUCAACGUCCUGGCGCCCAGGCCGCCGUUGUGACUGGAGGGCGGGUCUUGAUGGGCGGCCGAUUGCGGGAGGGCAUCGGGCCGUCCUCGUCAGCGUCCAGGGAGGAGGCGGCGGAGGACGAGGACGACGAGGACGACAGGGAGGACGAGGACGCGCGGGCCCAGGUCACCGAAGGGGAGCCGCCCGCGCCGCCGUGCCGGAUCACCAGCUUGGUGGGCAGGUGCAGAGGGGGCGGGGCCGGGGCCCCGGAUGCUGAGGACGGUGGGGGGCCGUGGCCCGGGAGCCGGUGUCCGACGUCGGAAGAGGCGGCGAUGGGGAGGCCGAGGGAGCGCGAGGAAGACACGUACUCGUCUGCGAACAGAGCGAGGAAAAGCAUGAGGCCCCGCGCAGAGCAGAGACAUGCUCGUCUCCACCCUGUGCUGAAGACCAGUGGCCCCCACAUGUCACAGGGCAGGUCUGUCUUGUGCUUCCAGAAUCCAGCACAGGACUGGGCCCUGGUGUCUGCAGGUCUCUGUCCAACUGGCUCGGGCUCUGGCGUGCC
Molecule: long non-coding RNA, 1025 nt
Filed under: Equus asinus (donkey)
Lineage: Eukaryota; Metazoa; Chordata; Mammalia; Perissodactyla; Equidae
Description: lncRNA (ENSEASG00005030993.1)
Source: RNAcentral